Macaca fascicularis (crab-eating macaque) is the source of this 148-nucleotide unclassified non-coding RNA. It matches the Rfam family "Metazoan signal recognition particle RNA". From Rfam's summary of the family: The signal recognition particle (SRP) is a universally conserved ribonucleoprotein. It is involved in the co-translational targeting of proteins to membranes. The record is from Ensembl. Lineage: Eukaryota; Metazoa; Chordata; Mammalia; Primates; Cercopithecidae.
GCCGGGCAUGGUGGCGCGCACCUGUAAUCCCAGCUACUCGGGAGGCUGAGGUAGGAGAAUCGCUUGAACCCAGGAGGCAGAGGUUGCAGUGAGCCAAGAUCAUGCCACUGCACUCCAGCCUGGGUGACAGAGUGAGACUCUAUCUCAA